UACGGAGGAUGCGAGCGUUAUCCGGAUUUAUUGGGUUUAAAGGGUGCGUAGACGGUAAAGCAAGUCUGAAGUGAAAGCCCGGGGCUCAACCCCGGGACUGCUUUGGAAACUGUUUAACUAGAGUGCUGGAGAGGUAAGCGGAAUUCCUAGUGUAGCGGUGAAAUGCUUAGAUAUCACGAAGAACUCCGAUUGCGAAGGCAGCUCACUGGAGCGCAACUGACGCUGAAGCUCGAAAGUGCGGGUAUCGAACAGG
This 253-nucleotide ribosomal RNA is filed under the name Segatella copri DSM 18205. RNAcentral describes it as "Prevotella copri DSM 18205 partial 16S ribosomal RNA". It matches the Rfam family "Bacterial small subunit ribosomal RNA", at positions 524 to 776 of the family's 1533-position model. Lineage: Bacteria; Pseudomonadati; Bacteroidota; Bacteroidia; Bacteroidales; Prevotellaceae. The record is from RNAcentral.